ACAAUAUAUUAAAUGGAUUUUUGGAGCUUGGAGUUGGAAUAGGAGCUUGCUCCGUCCACUCCAUGCAUCAACCUGGUAUUGCAGUACUUCCAGGAAUGGUAC
Molecule: small nuclear RNA, 102 nt
Filed under: Jaculus jaculus (lesser Egyptian jerboa)
Lineage: Eukaryota; Metazoa; Chordata; Mammalia; Rodentia; Dipodidae
Description: U2 spliceosomal RNA (ENSJJAG00000004974.1)
Rfam family: U2 spliceosomal RNA
About the family: U2 is a small nuclear RNA (snRNA) component of the spliceosome (involved in pre-mRNA splicing). Complementary binding between U2 snRNA (in an area lying towards the 5' end but 3' to hairpin I) and the branchpoint sequence (BPS) of the intron results the bulging out of an unpaired adenosine, on the BPS, which initiates a nucleophilic attack at the intronic 5' splice site, thus starting the first of two transesterification reactions that mediate splicing.
Source: RNAcentral